GUGGCUCCAGGUUUGUUUUUCUCCGGUACAGCCUGGUAGGGAGGGCUCCCGGCAUCUCCCUGCUUCGGGGCAGAGGAUGCCGGGGGUAGAGUACGGGAGGGCUGGAGCGAGGGUGGACUGGAGGUGCCGCUUGUCCUGGAGGUGGGAGAGAGGGAGCGGCUUUGCCGCCUGGCCUGCGUCCUAAUCCUGUCCUGGUUCUUCUGCUCCCGAAGGGAACGUAGGUCCCGCGCCUGUGAUAAGUAAGGUUGGAUUUUCUCUUCCCUGAGGUGAAGGAUGCCCGGAGGCCUCGGCAGGACCGUGCGGAAACGGGCCUUCUGCCCAAAAGAUGCUGCUUCUCUCCUUAUUCUUUCCCCUCAGAAUCUCGCUGUCUCCUUCCAACCACCUGUGGUCGGCAUCCCCGCGUUGUCACUGCGACGCAGAGGCGAGCGAGGUGGCGGGAAGCACCCGCGGGGCGGGGAGGGACCCUGCGGGCGCGGACUCCACACCAAGCCUCUGCUCAGCGUCACCCCGCUUGCUGUGUCCUCGCAGGUCGCAGCUUCAUGGCCUGAUGCCUUCAGGAAGUAUUUUGAAGUCAUCGUGGCUGUGGAUUGGGGGAUUUCUUGUUUCCACUGACCUGUGAGGCCGCGCACGUGGAGGGAGGCACCCCGGGUCCUCCGGCACUGUCCGGCCUCGCCUGUGUCCCUAGUAGCAGUGGGCAUUUCCAGACGGUGCAGCUUGUGGCUAAAGUGACAGGAAGAUGUAGGAGCUUUCAGUCUUGGAUGAGGAUUCGAACUGAAGGGCUUAGGCCCAGCUGUCUUGGAGCAAAACAUCUGUUGUGGGGUGAGAAGGGAAAGGAGGGGUGAGGGUGCAGGGGCCCUCCUAGGAGGACAUCGGACCUGUUGGGCCGAGACCUCAUUAGAGAUCUAGAGCACGGAUGGGAGGAGCAGAGGCUCGAUUUGUGUCCUGUUCAGACUCCCACAGGCUGGGUGAUGGUGGGAGAUUUGUGCCCAUUCAGAUGUGGCGGCAGAGGAGGGCAAGGCCGAAGGAGCAGACAGCACCGCUUCUUGGGGAGUUGUGAAGGCAUCAUGCGGAGGGCCGAGCUUAGCAGCCAAGUGGAGGACAGCACCCUCCAUGCCUGGAUUCGUUACUCGCUCGUUCUCGAUGUUGAGCUGCUGGCAUAUUGCAGCACAACUAGAGAUGUACGGAUGCCCCCAUCUUGAUCUUACAGAAUCAGAGGUGCAGCCGCAAGAAAGGUCUGUAAGUUAUCUAUUUCGGCUUUAUUUAAAAGAUGGGAUGGGGUGGGGUGGACAGGAAACAAGCUUAACAUGUUAAGUGACUGUUGACAUUGACACAUUUUGUUGUGGCAGAGUCAAGAACAGACACUGAGUCGCUUGAGGACUCAGGCAGGUGUUUGCUGCAUUGACAACAGAGUAAGAAAAAAUCCGUUUGCUUUUUAAAAUCCAAAGAUGGUUUUGAGAACCUGAAACCAAGUUAGAGCAAGUUCGUUUUCCUUCCAAAAAAACUGGGCUCUGCCGGGCGCAGUGGCUCACGCCUGUAAUCACAGCACUUUGGGAGGCUGAGGCCGGCAGAUCACGAGGUCAGGAGUUCGAGACCAGCCUGACCAACAUGGUGAAACCCCGUCUUUACUAAAAAUACAAAAAAUUAGCCCGACGUGGUGGUGCGCACCUGUAGUCCCAGCUACUUGGGAGGCUGAGGCAGGAGAAUCACCUGAACCCAGGAGGCAGAGGUUACAGUGAGCCAAGACUGUGCCAUUGCACUCCAGCCUGGGUGACAGGGCAGGACUCUGUCUCAAAAAAGCAAACAAAAAAAAACUGGGCUGAAAAAUACCACAUCACUUUUUUCAAAACCUUGUUGGGAUUCUCUGGUUUAUAAUAAAGAUUAAAACCUGAAUAUUUUUGUUUAGCAUCAGUUUUAAUGAAAGUAUUAUGUUCCAUUCUUUGGCUUUUCCUAACUUGCUUAAUUAGUUUAAUAUAUUGGUUUGCAUACUCUGUUAGAGUACAGCAUAAGUUGUUUAUAAGUCAGUAGAAAACCAAACGUUUUCACAUUUGAAAACUAAUGUGUCCAAGCAGUACAUAACCAUGCCAGAGUCAUGCAUGGACGUGUGAGUAUCUCCCUUUUAGAGAUGUUUUGCCAGCUGGGAGGUGGACAUUUUUAGGCAAGUGACAUUUCUCAUGUUCUUUUCUUGUUUGUAAGCUACACCCUCUCGGUUUUCUCUGCUCUGCCAACACUAGUGGAAUAUGAUCACAUCCCAGAGUUUCACUCUUUUUGCCCAGGCUGGAGUACAGUGGUGCGAUCUUGGCUCACUGCAACAUCUGCCUCCUGGAUUUUCAAGUGAUUCUCCUGUCUUAGCCUCCUGAGUAGCUGGGAUUACAGGGAUCAGUGUCAUUUAGGGAUGUGACUAUGGGCUUCACUCAAGAGGAGUGGCAUCAUCUGGACCCUGCUCAGAGGACCCUGUAGAGGAAUGUGAUGCUGGAGAACUACAGCCACCUUGUCUCAGUAGGGUAUUGCAUUCCUAAACCAGAAGUGAUCCUCAAAUUGGAGACAGGCAAGGAGCCAUGGAUAUUAGAGGAAAAAUUUCGAAGCCAGAGUCAUCUGGGUGAGUUAGUGCCAGAUGGAAUUUAAAGAAUUAAUUAAUACCAGUAGAAACUAUUCAAGAAUGAAGUUCAAUGAGUUUAACAAAGGUGGAAAAUGUUUCUGUGAUGAAAGCAUGAAAUAAUUCAUUUUGAAGAGGAACCUUCUGAAUAUAAUAACAAUGGGAACAGCUUCUGGCUGAAUGAAGACCUCAUUUGGCAUCAGAAGAUUAAAAAUUGGGAGCAACCUUUUGAAUACAAUGAAUGUGGGAAAGCUUUCCCUGAGAAUUCACUCUUCCUUGUACAUAAGAGAGCUUACACAGGACAGAAAACAUGCAAAUAUACUGAACAUGGGAAAACCUGUUAUAUGUCAUUUUUUAUUACUCAUCAGCAAACACAUCCAAGAGAGAACCACUAUGAAUGUAAUGAAUGUGGAGAAAGUAUCUUUGAGGAAUCCAUUCUCUUUGAACAUCAGAAUGUUUACCCAUUCAGCCAGAAUUUAAAUCCCACUCUAAUUCAGAGAACCCACUCAAUUAGCAAUAUUAUUGAAUAUAAUGAAUGUGGAACCUUUUUCAGUGAAAAAUUAGCCCUUCAUUUACAACAGAGAACACAUCCAGGGGAAAAACCUUAUGAAUGUCAUGAAUGUGGAAAAACCUUCACCCAGAAGUCAGCCCACACAAGACAUCAGAGAACACACACAGGGAAAACCCUAUGAAUGUCACGGAUGUGGGAAGACCUUCUAUAAGAAUUCAGACCUCAUUAGAAAUCAAAGAAUUCACACAGGGGAGAGACCUUACAGAUGUCAUGAAUGGAGAAAUCCUUCAGUGAAAAGUCAUCCCUUACUCAAAAUCAGAGAACACACGUGGGGAGAAAUCAUGAAUGUCAUGAAUGUGGGAAAACCUCGUUUAAGUCAGUUCUAACUGUGCAUCAGAAAACACACAGGGGAGAAGCCCUAUGAAUGCUAUGCAUGUGGCAACACCUUUCUCAGAAAAUCCGACCUCAUUAAACAUCAGAGAAUUCACACAGGAGAAAAACCUUAUGAAUGUAAUGAAUGUGGGAAGUCAUUCUCCGAGAAGUCAACCCUUACUAAACAUCUAAGAACACACAGAUGGGAAAUCUUAUGCAUGUAUUCAAUGUGGAAAAUUUUUCUGCUGCUACUACAGUUUCACAGAACAUCUGAGAAGACACACAGGGGAGAAACCUUUUGGAUGUAAUGAAUGUGGGAAAACCUUCCAUCAGAAGUUGGCCCUAAUUGUUCACCAGAGAACUCAUAUAAGACAGAAACCCUAUGGAUGUAAUGAAUGUGGAAAAUCAUUCUGUGUGAAGUCAAAACUCAUUGCACAUCAUAGAACAUACACAGGGGAGAAACCCUAUGAAUGUAAUGUUUGUGGAAAAUUAUUAUUAAGUCAAAACUAACUGUACAUCACAGAACACACUUGAGGUGAAACCCUAUAAAUGUAGUAAGUGAGGGAAAUUACUCUGGGUGAAGUCAGAACUUUGUAGAGCAGAGAACAUAAAGGGUGAGAGAAAUCUGUUAAUAUAAUGAUAAUGAGAACACCUUUGCCCUGAAGUCAGUUCUCACAGUAGAGAAGAGAACUUAAAGAGGGAAAAAACAAUAUGAAGAUAUGGAAUGCAGGAAAACAUUAUUCUGGGAUUUGGGCCAUAGAUUAUGUUUAAGAACUAAAAGUGAAAAACACUUAUUGGUGAAUGAAUAUAGGAAACAUUUUGCUCAAUGCCACACCUCAGUAAACAUCAGAGAGUUCACACAGGGUGAAACCUGGCUCAACAUCCGUAAGUUGAGAAGGGAUGCAUUUUUUUGCUACUACUACAGUUUCACAGAAUAUCUGAGAAGACACACGGGAGAAACUUUUUGGGUGUAAUGAAUGUGGGAAAACCUUUCACCAGAAGUGGGCCCUAAUUGUUCACCACAGAACUCAUAUAAGACAGAAACCCUAUGGAUGUAAUGAAUGUGGAAAAUCAUUCUGUGUGAAGUCAAGAGGCCACAGAAAAUGCACAAACUAUAGGAAAGCAUUUACUAUGAGGUUAUAUUUUAUAGAGUAUAUGUAAUAAGAAGUACCUUCUUAGUGAACAUCAGAUAGUGAGAAAGUAUUUUUAACUGUAUCCAAUGUGUGGACACUUUAGGUUAAAAUCUAAAUUUAAUAUAGACCAGAGGUGUUGAAUUGCAGGAUAUCUAGCAAUUUAAGAACAUGUAGAGAAAAGGUUUUCUUUUUUUUUUUUUUUUUUUUUUUUGAGACAGAGUCUCGCUCUGCCACCCAGGCUGGAAUGCAGUGGCAUGAUCUCGGCUCACUGCAAGCUCUGCCUCCUGGGUUCAUACCAUUCUCCUUCCUCAGCCUCCCAAGUAGCUGGGACUACAGGCGCCUGCCACCACACCUGACUAAUUUUUUGUAUUUUUAGUGGAGACAGGGUUUCACCAUGGUCUCGAUCUCCUGACGUCGUGAUCUGCCCGCCUCGGCCUCCUAAAGUGCUGGGAUUACAGGUGUGAGCCACCACGCAAAAAAAGGUUUUUAUUGAGAAAUAGCAUUUUACUUUGCUUAUAUCCAGUUCAGUUCAUUGUCAAGACUGCUGUUUUCUGACACUUGAAAAGAUGCCACGCUGGAGCCAAUGACUAUAACUAGGUCAAAGAUGUAUUGCUUAGCCAUAUGUAAAAUAAGGGAAGAGUUUUUAGCAAAGGGAACCAUAAGCAAGAGUGCUUUUGUAUGUCCAGGAAGAAAGAGACCCUUAAUCUGGGGCCAUAGGACAGGAGCCCACCAGCAGGAUUUUUGAAUAAUCCUGGGGCAGACUAAUUUUGGGUGACCCGUCUCAGAAUGGUGGAUCAAGGGGGCAAGUCAACUUGCCUUGUAUGCAGCUUAAGAGGAUUAGUAGAAGAGAGUGGGUCCAGAUUUCUGGUGGUUUCUGCCCUAGCAGAUGUCCAACACAUAAGCCAGGACAUUCUGCUGUGAGUGACUUAUUGUACCCAACUCUAUUUCUCUCCAAAGUGAAAUACAUUUUUCAUAGGUGAUAUAACUUUUUAAAAUGUAUAUAGAGAUAUAACUUAAAUAUGGGGCUUUGAAAAAGCACAAAUAGGCUGAGCAUGGUGGCUUGCACCUGUAAUCCCAGUACUUUGGGAGGUUGAGGUGGGCAAGACCUGAGGUCAGGAGUUCCAGACCAGCCUGGCCAACAUGAUGAAACCCUGUCUCUACUAAAAAUACAAAAAUUAGCCAGGCAUGAUUGCGCACAUCUGUAGUCCCGGCUACUAGAGAGGCUGAGGUGGGAGGAUCACUUGAACCUGGGAGUUGGAGGUUUCAUUGAGCUGAGAUCAUGCCACUGCACUCCAGCCUGAGUGACAGACACUUUAAAAAAAAAAUAGAUUUUGCUAUUGGGUAAGGUAUAGUAGUCGGCAGCAGAAUGGACUGAUUGAGGACAACUAUAAAAUUACAAAAAAUAUUUAAAUGCAACUUAUUGCUAUAGAAGCAAAGAGAACUAAAGGAGCAAAAUUCUAGAGAGUGGUAAAUCCCAGAAAGCACAUGCACAGAAUGCAGCUCUUUGCUCUGGGGACCCUUUCCACUUCUGGCUAUAGGGAAGAACCUGAAUACUGAACUUGGUUCAGGCAGAGGGCCAUACCCUGGGGGUCAGGGGAAGGCAUGGGGGGGACCAGAAACCAGGAGAACAAUCAAGACUGCAAUUAAAAAAAAAUGGAUACAUUAGGGGCUUCAAACACAUAAUUUCUCAAGAAAUUUCCAGAUAUCUCAUGCUGCAUAGGGCAGGAGGCUGAAAAGCUAAUUUGAGAAGAAAACAAGUAGGAUUUUUGUUUUGUUUUGCAUUUUGCAAUAUGGAGGAGAAAUGAUUAGACCUUAGGAAGUGCCAGUGGGUUGGUCCUUUCAUGAACAUGCCAUCAGUAAAAGCCCUGGAAACAAGGUCAUACCAGAGAUUCAUUGUACCUUGUCACAACUGCAAACAAUAUCUGAGUGGAAUAUUCAAAAACUUGCUUAGAAAGAAAACUCUAGGACAGAUGGCUCCACUGAAGUUAUUCCAAAUAUUUAAUAAAUAAAGCAUACCAGGCUUUUAUAAACUCUUCUAGAAGAAAAAAGUUGGAACUUUUCCAAUUCAGUUUUUCAGGCCAGUGCAACCUUGAUACCAAAACCAAUAAAACAAACAAACAAACAAAAAACAUAAAGCUAUAGACCAAAGUCUCAUAGAUUUAGAUGCAAAAUCCUAAAAUUGAAAAAAAAAGUCUAGUCAUAUCCAUAAACUGUAUCAUCACCAAGAGAUGUUUAUUAGGGCAAUCAAAAGAUGAUUUAUUAUUUUUUAAAAAAUCAAUGUGGCCUUCCCUUCCUCUUUCUUUUGAUUCCCCUCUUUGAGUUUUUAUGUGUCUCUUUUGCCUUCCCUUCCCAGAGUGGAGGAGUUAGACCUGCAUUGUGGGAUGAGAGGAGUUGUGGCUAUGUGUCUGCUGGCACCAAGAGGGCUGAGGGUGAGGUGUGGAAGGGACAGGGGGAGGAGAUGGGCAGCAUUGUUAAGAGAUUGGUACCACUGAGCAAAUAUGUUGAGAAUGAUGAUGGCAAGGUUUCUCCCUGUUAGAGAAGGUAUUUGUAGAAAUAGGAAUGAGGAGAGCUAGAAAACCUGGAGUGUGGGAUUAGAAUAGAACUCAUAUCUUUUAAAUACAUAGGAACAAUAGAGAAAUUGUUGGGUGUGCCCAUAUACAUAUAUUUUGUGAUUCAUUCUACCGAGAGGACAUAAAUGCAGUCACAGCUCAGUAACAGUAAACACACCAACUGCCAAGUUAUUAUUUCCUAAAUACUAUCCACAAAAAAGGGGACCAGGGAUGAUUCCUAGUCGGAGAUUGGGAGAAAAAGAAGAUGAGCCUGAAUCAUUUCAUGUACCUAACAGAAAGAAAAUACUCUGGCUGGGCUCAGUGGCUCAUGUUUGUAAUUCUAGCAUGUUAGGAGGUCGAGGUGGGUGUGUUGCUUGAGCCCAGGAGUUUGAGACCAGCCCAGGCAACAUGGCAAAACUGUCUCUACAAAAAAUAUAAAAAUUAGCCAGGCGUGGUGGCAUGCACCUGUCAUCCGAGAUACUCAGGAGGCAGAGAGGUGGGAGGAUCACUUGAGCCUGGGAGAUUGAGACUGCAUCGAGCUGUGAUCAUGCCACUGCACUCCAGCCUGGAAGACAGAGUGAGACCCUGUCUCAGGAAAAAAGAAAAAAAAAAGAUGUUGCUCAGCAAGUUAAUGGACAAACUGUGCAAUAUCCAGAAAACUUUAACAUUCUUCAAAGAAAUAGAAAACACAAUCCUAAAAUUUAUAUGGAAACCACAAAAGACCUAGAAUAGUCAGAGUUAUCCUGAGCAAAAGGAAUCAAACUGGAGGGAUCAUAUUACCUGACUUCAAAUUAUUCUACAGAGCUACAGUAACCAAAACAGCAUGAUACUGGCAUAAAAACAGACACAUAGGAACAGAAUAGACAACCCAGAAACAAAUUCAUACAUCUACAGUGAACUCACUUUUGACAAAGUUAUGAAGAACAUACAUUGGGGUAAAGAUAGUGUCUUUAAUAACUGGUGCUGGGAAAGCUGGAUAUCCGUAUGCAGAAGAAUGAAACUAGACCCCUAUCUCUUAACAUAUACAAAAAUCAAAAUUAAUUAAAAAGUUAAAUCUAAGACCUCAAACUAUGAAACAGCUAAAAUAAAACAUUGGGGAAUCUCUCCAGGACAUUGGAGUGGGCAAAGAUUUUUUGUGUAAUACCUGACAAACAGGCAACCAAAGCAAAAAUGGACAAGUGGGAUCACAUCAAGUUAAAAAUCUGUAUUGCAAAGGAAACAACAAAGUGAAGAGACAACCCAUAGAAUGGGAAAGAAUAUUUGCAAACUAUCCAUCUGUAUUAGGCCAUUCUUGAAGUACUAUAAAGAAAUACGUGAGACUGGGUAAUUUAUAAAGAAGAGGUUUAAUUGGCUCACAGUUUUGCAGGCUGUACAGGAAGCAUGGUGCUAACAUCUGAUCAGCUUGUAGGGAGGCGUCAGGAAGCUUCCAACCAUUGUGGAAGGCAAAAGGGGAAUAAGUAUCUCACAUGGCAGGAGCAAGGGCAAAGAGAGGGGGAGGGAGGUGCCACACACUUAACCAGAUCUUGUGAGUACUCAGGUCUUGUGAGGGUUGCUUGAGGUCAGGGAUACCCCAUUUACCCUGAUGUGUUCAUAUACAUUUCAUGACUGUAUCAAAAUAUCUCAUGUACCCCCAUAAACAUAUACACCUAUUUGUACCCACAAAAAUUUAAAAAUAAUUUCAAUGUUUGAAGACUCAUUAUUAAAAUAAUAGCAGUUUCUAUAAAUUUAAUAUUUCAAUAAAACUCCCAAUAUUUAUUCUUAACACUGGAAAAACUUUUCCAAAAUGCAUAUGGCAGAAAUAUGGGCGUUGAUGAAAGGACAGCAUCAAUUAAUGAGGGAUCCUCCCCCUUGACGAAAAUACCUUCCACCAAGACCCACCUUUAAUGCUGAGGAUUACAUCUCAAAAUGAGAUUUGGGCAGGGACAAAUAUCCAAACUAUAUCACUAGCUAUAUCAGGAGCUGUAACUAUAACUAUAUCAGGAACUAUAACAAUUCUAUAGAAAAAAAAUUAAUCUGAAAACUGGACAAAAAUCUGAAUAGGCAUUUCUCGAAAGAAGACAUACAAAUGGCAAACAGGCAUAUGAAAAUGUACUCAACAUCAUUGAUCCAUUAGAGAAAUGCAAAUCAAAACUACAAUGAGAUAUCAUCUCACCCCAGUUAAAAUAUCUUCUGUCCAAAAGACAGGUAACAACAAAUGCUGAAGAGGAUGUGGAGAAAAGGGAACCCUCGUGCACUGUGGAAGUGUAUAUUAGUACAACCACUAUGGAGAACAGUUUGUAGGUACCUCAAAAACUAAAAAUAGAGUUACCAUACAAUCCAGCAAUUCCACUGGUAGGUAUAUACCCCAAAGAAAGGAAAUCAGUAUAUUGAAGAUAAAUCUGCACCAUGUUUACUGUAGCACUACUCGCAAUAGCCAAGAUUUGGAAGCAAUCCAAGUGUCCAUCAGCAGAUGAAUGGAUAAAUAAAAUAUGGUACGUAUACACAACGGAGUACUAUUCAGCCAUAAAAAAGAAUGAGAUCCUGUCAUUUGCAACAUUAUAGAUGGAACUACAGAUCAUUAAGUGAAAUAAGCCAGGCACAGCAAGACAGACAUCACAUGUUCUGACUUAUUUAUUGGAGCUAAAGAUGAAAACAACUGAACUUCUAGAGAUAGAGUAGAAGAAUGUUUACCAGAGGCUGGGAAAGGUAGUGGGGGCAUGAUGAGGGGGAAUUGGGGAAUGUUAAUGGGCACAAAAAGGUAGAAUGACUAAGACCUAGUAUUUGAUAGCACAACAAGGUUACUACAGUCAAUAAUAAUUGUACAUUUUUAAGGUAUAAUUGAAUUGUUUGUAACACAAAGGAUAAAUGCUUGAGGUUAUGGAUAUCCCAUUUACCCUGAUGUGAUUAUUAGACAUUGCAAACCUGUAUCAAUAUAUCAUGUACCCCAUAGAUGUAUACACCUAGUAUGUACCCAAAAAAAUUAAAAAUAAAGUAAAAAUUUCAAUGAUUAGGAAGACCAUUAUUAAUAUGUUUUCUUUAAAUGUUUCUGUAAAUUUGAUACAAUUUCAAUAAAGCUUCCAAUAUUUAUUCUUAGUACUGG
Molecule: long non-coding RNA, 10237 nt
Filed under: Homo sapiens (human)
Lineage: Eukaryota; Metazoa; Chordata; Mammalia; Primates; Hominidae
Description: non-protein coding lnc-ZNF33B-4:4
Source: RNAcentral